GAUGUUAAGUAGGCAUUUGCAGGCAAAACGUUGCUUAUAAUUUGGUUGACUGCUCUUUCCUACUUUACAUU
This 71-nucleotide microRNA precursor is filed under the name Culex quinquefasciatus (southern house mosquito). RNAcentral describes it as "mir-2943 microRNA precursor family". It matches the Rfam family "mir-2943 microRNA precursor family". The record is from Rfam by way of RNAcentral. Lineage: Eukaryota; Metazoa; Arthropoda; Insecta; Diptera; Culicidae.